Molecule: ribosomal RNA, 389 nt
Filed under: Bacteroidales bacterium
Lineage: Bacteria; Pseudomonadati; Bacteroidota; Bacteroidia; Bacteroidales
Description: bacterial SSU rRNA
Rfam family: Bacterial small subunit ribosomal RNA
Source: RNAcentral
ACAACGAAGAGUUUGAUCCUGGCUCAUGAUGAACGCUAGCGGCAGGCCUAAUACAUGCAAGUCGAACGGUAAGCGCCCCUUCGGGGGUGCGAGAGUGGCGGACGGGUGCGUAACGCGUAUGCAACCAACCCCGACCAGGCGGACAGCCGGUGGAAACGCCGGAUAAUACGCCAUGCGGCCGCGGUGAGGCAUCUCACCAUGGUCAAAGCGGAGACGCGGGACGGGACGGGCAUGCGUGCCAUUAGCUUGUAGGCGGGGUGAGGGCCCACCUAGGCAACGAUGGCUAGGGGAUCUGAGAGGACGGUCCCCCACACUGGUACUGAGACACGGACCAGACUCCUGCGGGAGGCAGCAGUAAGGGAUAUUGGGCAAUGGGGGCAACCCUGACC